AUGCUCAACAGAAUUAAUUAUAACAAUGUUUCAUGUGGUCGUGGAGAAUUAUUUGGUUCAAUUUAAGACGAAAAAUGCUUGAUGAGAAAAGGAAAAUUGGAAAAAAAGGGAUAUCGAAUUCAUCAUCUACAGUAGAUUUUUUUUACCUUGCGUCUAUAAUUAUUCAAAAUGGAUCCAAUUAAAUUAUUGCUGGGAGUAGUCUAAAUAUAAGACAGUUUGACAAAUUUUGUAGUAUUUAUAUUAGCAGUGGAACAUGGAUACAGGAAAGUUUCACUAAGGAAGAAAAACGUUAUAUAUAUCGAUUUGUCGAUUGGGCGUAUAAAUCGCUUUGUCCUGCUUAUAACACUGACACAGCUCUGAAGAUGAAAGCCGAAAAGUGUCAGCCAAAUCUGUAAAGUGAGGAUAGGCAGUCCAAAAUGAUGGACACCGGAAAUGACAACUACAAGCACAUCACGCAGAACCCAAGAGGAAAUCUCACACCAUAUUAAAAUAAUCAGUAAACCCUGAUACAUUGUAGUAAAUCAAAUAGA
This is a long non-coding RNA of Cimex lectularius (bed bug), 530 nucleotides long. RefSeq lists it as uncharacterized. Lineage: Eukaryota; Metazoa; Arthropoda; Insecta; Hemiptera; Cimicidae. The record is from RefSeq and is a predicted model, not a curated record. The transcript has 3 exons.